CAGAGCUCAUGUGGCUUUCUGGUCUUAUAAAAGGCGAAGUCCGCUUCUCAGGAACUUAGUUUCAGUAGAAAACCGAUUCUACAGUCUGCUCAAGACACACCGGAGAAUCUGACGCUGUUCGUCGUCCCCGAAGUUCACUGGCAGAUGAGGUACUCGACGGAAUUCUCACAUCUGCAGUGAGCGCACCUAGGUCCUUCGCGUGGCGACAGAUAACGCUUCAUCAAUAAUAAAGGCAUUUGCAUUUACCGGGUGGGAGACUGAAGAGGACGAUGAUGAUGACAAUUUCGCCGACUGCCCGGAAGGCUUAACGAAGGAGCUUUUAAGCGAGUUCCAUUAGUUGGAGCAAUCUCGAUUUGGCUGCGCCGCCCACAGCCUGCAGCUUGCCGCAAAAGACGCCAUUCGGCAGGUAUGCGCUAUUAAAUAACAUAUUGGUUUCAUAUUA
Dermacentor andersoni is the source of this 442-nucleotide long non-coding RNA. RefSeq lists it as uncharacterized. The record is from RefSeq and is a predicted model, not a curated record. Lineage: Eukaryota; Metazoa; Arthropoda; Arachnida; Ixodida; Ixodidae.